RNAcentral lists this long non-coding RNA (17341 nucleotides) under Nicotiana tabacum (common tobacco). RNAcentral describes it as "long non-coding RNA (NTAB_LNC007804)". The record is from RNAcentral. Lineage: Eukaryota; Viridiplantae; Streptophyta; Magnoliopsida; Solanales; Solanaceae.
UCUUAUGAUCUUUGUUUUUCUCCUUUUUCAUCUUCCAAGUCCGUUACUUUGCUUUCUCCACUUUCUCCACAUCAAUCUCUUUCUAACUAUUCUUUACUCAAAGGGGAGAGUUCCAGAGAACAAUUAAUUUGUAGAGAAAAAAGGGGAGCAGUUCUGCGACCGAGGUUUCUUCUUUUUAUUUUUUAUUGAUUUGUUCUUAUUCUAUGUCAUUGCAUUGAUAUGUUCUUUUAUCUCUUCUUUUGCUUUUAUACUUCUUCUUCCAUUAAGAACUCCAAUUUGCUGCGUGAAAGAGGAGAAAUUUUAAGGACUUUGUUCACAGGUAUUAUUUCGUAUUUUUUUUGGGUAUUUCUAACUUUUUCUCUCUUUCAUCUAAGCAUUCUUUUUUUCCUUCUAUUUUUUCUGCUUAAAGUAAUUUUUACUUUAAUCUUGAAAAGUGAAAACUAAAAACAUGUGCUUAGUUUUCAGGUUGUUCCGAUAAUUUAUAUGAAAAAAGAACGAAGGAAAAGAAAACAACUUAAUGUAGCUUGUUGUACAGAGUAUGUUUUUUUUCCUCUCUUUGGGUUCCGUUGGUUUCCUCUUAUUUUUGCAAAUUCUUGUGUAGUCAGUGCCUCUUUCAUUGGCAUGAAUCUGUAGUAAGUAUGAGUCGGAUGAAUCUUAUACGAGAAAUGCAUAUUGUAGAGCUCGUGUCUCAAUAGGUGUUACAUCCUUCCGUAUACUUCCAUCGUAUCUUAUUGAGAGGAUUCAUAUCCGGUAGGUCUGCAAGAAACACAUCCGGAAACUCCCUCAUUACUGGAACUGACUAGAGAGUAGGAGUAUCAACACUAACAUCUCUGGCGAAGGCUAGAUACACUAAACAUUUUUUUCCAACCAUCCGUUGAGCCUUCAAGAAUUAGAUAACUCUGCUAGGAGUGCAACAUAGAGAACCAUUCCACUCCAUCUUCGGCAACCCUGACAUAACCUAUGUCACGGUCUUAACAUGACAAUUAAGAAUAACAUUGUAUGGAGGCAGCCAAUACAUACCCAAGAUCACAUUAAAAUCCACCAUAUCCAAUAAUAGAAAGUCCACUCUCAUCUCAAAACCACAUAUGGUGAUUGUUGUACCCUAUUUUGCACUAGACAAAAUAAGAUUCAACUUGUGGUUUCUCUGUUGUUGAUAAAAGAGAGUCGCCACCUUAUAUUUAAAGGUAUACUAGGGUACCUAUUAAAUUAUUAAUUUAUAUUUAGUAUUGGUCUGCUAACCGGUGAGAUUAUGGGUAAGGGUUCUUGUUCUUCUAAGGGGAGGUGUUAGGGACCCCUUAAAAUCUACCUAAGGUAGCUCCAUAUGACUUAGACUAAUUUUAAGAGGUAUGCUAUUUGUACUAUGCUUAUGAUGUUUUAUACUUCAAUACCACACAAGAGGGGGGAGGGAGUGAUUUGUGUGGUACCCAAUUUUCGCUUAACUGAAUUAUAGAAGGACCUGGUUCUUCUAUGUGUUCCAACUCCUACUGUUUGUGGAAUAAUAAGUAAAGAAAAUAAAGAACACAGAGAUUUUUACGUGGAAAACACCUGGCUCAAAAGGUGAAAAAAUCACGACCUACUUCUCAGUAGAAUUUUUCCAAACUUUCACUAAAAUCACUAAGCCAAAAACUGCAUUUACAAAAACUCUUUGUAAACCUAGGAUUAACUCUAAUACUGUUAUGGCACAUAGCCUCAACUGCUGCGACAACUUUAAGUUAACUCUAACUUGAACACUCUAGGUACCUAAUACAAUUGCUUUUAUAAAAGCUGAAAAGUACAAUGUAAAAUUACCUACUACGAUUAAAUUAGAAUAAAAGAUAAACACUUGGAACUGGUUCUUCUAUCUCGUUCAAUUAGCUUCAGGAUUGCACACUUGAAUCACACAUAAAUUGCUUGCAAAAUCGCCUUGCUCGUUUGCUCUCAAUUUAAGUUUAACUUCUUCUUAUGUGCAUUACCUGUAAAAGAGAACAACACUGAUAUUUAAUGGGUUAAUAAUUAGAGAUUGACUGGGAUUCAGAUACUACUCUUCUAUUGUAGAAGAGUUCUAGUUGAUCUUAUACUCUAACACUAUCUUCUUCCUAAACUGUGUUCUCUUCAGGUAAGGACUCUUUCUCUCCUUAUCCAAUAUGCAACCUUUUCGAUGAGAUCUGGAGAUAUUAUUUCUGAUAAGUUAGAUUUAUCUCUUUCACGUGCAUCUCACAUGUUUGGGUUGAUCAUGAUUGUGCUUCACAAGAUGGACUUGGUCCAUAUCUGAGUUCUUUUGUCAGUCUUCAAAACUUCACCUGUACUUGGGCCAAAAAAUUCCCCAUUUUUGAUGAUGACAAACUCUGUGCUUUUUACUUACUUGGAUCAUGUAAGAACUCAGCUUAACCAUCAAUACAAAAUUUAGAAAAUUCACUUAUCAUCAAGGACCAAGUUAAUUAGGUUAUAAAUAUCACUUAUUUAGAAUAUGUAAAGCACAAUAUUUCUUCCCCCUUUUGGAAUCAUCGAAAAGUUGCAUACAAAGUGUGAGUCCCAGAUUUUAAUAAGUACUCAUGGCCACUGGGGCAACUGCAAGUGCACUCAUGGAUUAAUCAUCAAUAAUCGAGCAAACAUAUUUAAACUAUCAAGGAAAGAUUAACAUUGAAUAAGAGCAAAAACAGUAGAUAUCAUUGAUAGAAGGUAUGUUGCUACCACAAUCCACAACCAUAAAGCAAAAACAUUCAAAACAUGAGCAAAAAGAAAGAAAAACCCCUAAUCCGGGUCAUUGAAGGCACUAGACAGGUUCGGGAGAUAGAGGCUAGAAUUAUAUUCCUAAGGCUUGGGAGAGCUAGAGGGUUGGUUUUGGGCUUGGAGAAUGGUCAGCAUAUUCUGAAGAACCCCAUCAUUCUUCUUCUUUUCCUUAGUGAGCUCAGUUCUGAGAGCAUCCCUCUCAGAUUCAACCUCAGCUAAGCGAGCCUUCAGCCUAGCUAUCUCUGCAUCUUUUGCUCCACUCUCCUGCACCAGGGCUCUGACUUUGCUGUUUAUAGGUGUCUUCUUGGAUGAACCAAGUUCAUUGGGAAUGGCAGUGAUCUCAUAAUCACAGUCAAUCAAAGUGUUGAUUCCAAAGUGAUCUUUGGUUGAGGCCAUUCCCACUUCUUCAGUGGCACCUUGCAGCGAUCAAGAACAAUAGUCAAAAAUAACCCAUAAGGAGUGGCAUAGGCCUUGGAGCCAUUGAUAUCCCUAUCUAGCAGCUUGAUAAUGAAUGCAGGCCAGUUGAUCUGCCUUGUUCUUUCAAGACACUCAAUCAACACCAAGUCCAUGUAGUUAGCAGUGUGCCUCCUUUCCUAUCGAGGCAUCAAACACUUGUUGACAAAUUCAAAUAAGACUUUGUGCUGUGGCCUUAUUUCACUCUUCUGAACAGGCCUAGCCUCAUUCACAUCUGUAGUAUCAUAGAACCUCCUGGUAAUUUCAAGGGCAGUAGGAAAGGAGUCCAGACAUGGCCACCUUUGCCUUGUAUAGUCAUCAAACCCUUCAGAGGGUAUGUCAAGGAUCUCGCCUAGCUUCUUUCCAUCAAAGGUCACGUGAACCCCUUUCACCAGGAUGCUAACUCUGCCAUCCUUAACCUCUGCAUUUGCCAUGAACUCAAUAAUCUCAUUCCUAGCUAGCCUUCAAUCCAUCUGAAGGACCAUGCCAGGUGUUUCAACAAUCUACCUUUCAAAAUUUUUCUCUUACCAAACUUGGUCAGCUUGUCUUGUUCACCAUUAGACUCACUUUCUUCUUCACCACUCUAUUCCUCCUCUUCAGAAACUCUAACUUGUUUACUUUUCACUGUAGACCUUGUCCUCUUGGCCAAUGAGGGUUCAGCAGCCUCAAACACAGAGGAAGACUUCUUGGAAGAAGUCUUGGGCUUUUUCGGCUCGGGGGUCUGAACCUUUACUAUUGUAACUUCCUCCUGAUGGACCUGUUCCAUCUCCUCAAUAUCAACAACUUCUGAGGACUCUGAAAACUUACCCUUUCCUUUAGAAAUUAUUUUCUUCUUACUUUCAGCCAGAGCCUUUUGUAGAUCACUCUCACUCUAUUUCACCCUACUUCUUGUGGCUUUUCCCUUUGGCAAGGAAGUUUCAGUAGUUGUUGGAGAUGAUGCCUUUCUUUUCUUGGAGGGUUUAGGAGCACUGGGGCUUUUGGUGUGGGAGUUCUCCUUUUCUUUGGAUCGUAACUUGCCCCUACCCUUUUCAACAGGUCUGCUAGGUUCUCUUCAGUUGAUGAACCAGGUUCAUCUCCCUGUGCACUUAGGUUAACUAACCCUUCAACAGCUUCACCAGAACCACUUCCCCCUGACUUCUUGCCACUCUUUUCAAUAUUUUCAUGUUCAACCCCAAAAAUAGCAGAUACAAACAAAUCAGCAGUGGGUGAAUGAUCAACCACUCUUUUCCCUUUUCCCGUCUCGUCACCACAUUCACCCUCUCUCUCUUUUUCUUUUUCAGAUUUCUUUUUACCUCCACUCCGUCUUAACUCAGGUAAUUCCACAUCCCUGAUAGGCCCAACCAAAAUAAACCUAUUUUCUAAAUUCUCAGUCAAAGAAGAAUUUACCUUAGAGGGGGAUUCUUGAACCUUCUCAGAGUUAGAAGACCCAGGUCAUUCCCCCUUACUAGCAGAUUUGUACGACUCAUAAUCAGAGUUAGAAUUAGAGUCUUGAGUCUGACUUACCUUUAAUUGCUCAUUCAAUUUAAUUGAGAGAUCAUUAGAAGCUACUAUUUUUCGAGCAAGCAUUUUUACCCUUCUCAGCCUUGGUUUGGGAGUCGUGCUAGGUGGAGGAGAGGUAGAUGAAUUAAAGGAAGUGGGCUGUGGAGGAGUUCCAGGGUUGUCUUGUGGGUUUGUCAUUAUCGCUGAUUUCUUGAGAAAAUUAGUGAGUUAGAACUUUGGAGAAAAAAGCAAUUGAAAGUGAAGACGGGUUUUUGAUGGUUUAGAAUUAUGAAGAUGACAAGAGGUAAUGAUGUGUAUUUAAAGAGAAAUACACAUUUAAUGUAUAAUGGCAGCUUUAGCAGUGGUCAAUUAGAGGUCUAACCAACCUAAAAUUUCAGGUUUGAAUGAACGGUUAGGCUUCCCUAGAUUUUAGGCAAAUUUUGUGGUUAGAGUUCUAAAGCUGACAGAACUGGUUCAAAAACAAACAGAUAGAAUUUUCUAAGGAGUUGAACAAUUGUAGGACUUCUUCUCAUGAUUUAAAUAUUUAUAUUUCUAAUUGUGCAGAGUAUAGAAAAUAUACCUUAGCAAUCAGAUGAACCAAUACUGAUGGACCAGGUUCUUCAUUUAGAAUUCUCUUGACCAUGCCUCAAUUAACCAUAAUAGAGAAAAUUUUGCAAGAGAUCAGUGAGUCAUAUUAGCACAUGUCACAGGAGCAUACUAAUUGCAGUAUGAAGCUGAGUAAAAAUUAAUCUAGAUAUUUACACAGGUUCAGAUUUCCUAGCCAAAUCUUUUUUCAAUUUUUUUCAUUAUUUUUUUUCAUUGUGCAUUCUGAGCUGGUCCCAUUAGGUGAUCUUAAUCAUCCCUAAUUCUAACCUAUUCCUUUCAAAGUUUUCUCUACUCAGUGCUUUAGUAAAAAUGUCAGCAAUUUAUUUAUCAGUAGCACAUAAUUCUAUGGUGAUCAAUCCUUUCUCAUAGUUAUCUCUUAAGAAGUGGUGUCUAACAUCUAUGUGUUUAGUCCUCUUAUGGUGAACAAGGUUCUUUGUCAUACUUAUAGCACUAGUGUUAUCACAGAAGAUAGGAAUGCAACCAACUUCAAUGCCAAAAUCUAUCAGCUGCUGUUUGAUCGACAACAAUUGAGUAUAAUAAGAGGCAACAACAAUAUAUUCAGCCUCAACAGUGGACAAGGCCACUGAAUUAUGCUUUUUAGUGGCCCAUGAUACAAGACAUGAACCAAGAAAAUUAGCCAUACCUGAGGUGCUCUUCCUAUCCACAAGGAAACUUGCAUAGUCAGCAUCAACAUACCCUACUAGAUUGAAAUUACUAGCUUAGGGUACCAAAGACACAGAUCAGUAGUGCCUUUCAAAUAUCUCAGUAUCCUCUUGACAACAAUCAAGUGAGAUUCCUUUGGAUUAGCCUGAAAACGAGCACAAAGCCCUACACUGGAAACUAUGUCAGGUCUGCUGGCAGUAAGAUACAAAGUGAACCAAUCAUACCCUUAUACAACUUCUGAUCAACAGAUGAACCAGGUUCAUCUAUGUCUAAUUUAGUAGGUGUUGCAAUGGGAGUGUUCAUUUCCUUUGAUUCAUCCAUUUUAAACUUUUUGAUCAACUCUUUUGCAUAUUUCUGCUGAUGGAUCAUGGUUCCAUUUGGGCUUUGUUUGAUCUGUAAGCCUAAGGAAAAGUUAAGAUCACCCAUCAUACUCAUUUCAAACUCACUCCGCAUUAAUUUGGCAAAAUCUUUACUUAGUUUGUCAGUGGUUUCCCCAAAAAUUAUGUCAUCAACAUAUAUUUAUACCAAAAGAAGAUCUUUACCUUUUUCCCUCAGGAAUAGAGUACUGUCAAUUUUACCUCUUUUGUAGCCAUGUUCAAGCAGGAAUUUGGACAAUCGUUCAUACCAUGCUCUAGGAACCUGCUUGAGUCUAUAGAGAGCCUUGUCAAAUUUGUACACAAGUUCCGAACACUCCUUGCCCUCAAACCCUGGAGGUUGUUUAACAAACACUUCUUCUUUUAGGUAGCCAUUUAGGAAGGCACUUUUGACAUCCAUCUGAUAAAGAGUGAAUUCCAUGUGUGCUGCAAAAGGUAUGAGGAGUCUUAUUGCCUCUAGUCUUGCAACUUGAGCAAAAGUCUCAUCAUAAUCUAUACCCUUCUCUUGGCUAUAGCCUUGGACCACCAGUCGUGCCUUGUUUCUUGUAACUGUUCCAUCUUUAUCAAGCUUGUUUUUGAAGACCCAUUUAGUGCCAAUUACUAAUUUGUCCUUGGGUCUUGGAACUAGAUGCCAAACUUGACUUCUCUCAAACUGAUUGAGUUCAUAUUGCAUUGCAUUUACCCAGUCUGCAUCUGGAAAAGCCUCAAUAAUAUUUUUAGGUUCAAUAGGAGAUAGGAAAGCAUCAAAAGCAUACAUAUUCUUUAAUUGUGAUCUAGUUUUAACUCCAGAGUUUGGAUAAGUGAUUAUGUUCUCAAUGGGAUAAGACUUUGAUACUUGUGAGGUUUCACAACCAACUAAUUUCUUCUUGAUGUUUCUCCCAUGUUUUGUUGCUGAGGAACAUUGUUAUGAACAUGCUCCUUUAGGUGAUUGGUUUCAGUUCAUCUUUGUUGAGUUCCCCCUGUCAGGUUGCUCUGGAUGGAAGAACCUGUUCCAUCACCUGUUCCUUCUUUUGGUGCAACUUCAGCUUGAGCUGAGACUUCACUCAAAUCUUUUACCAGCCCAAUAGCUUCAUCUUCAUGCUCCUGUUUCUCAGAAAGAAUGUUAGUUUCAUCAAAAACUACAUGUAAACUUUCUUCUACACACAAAGUUCUUUUAUUGAAAACUUUAUAAGCUUUGCUAAUAUCCCAAGAAUACCCCCUCAUCACUUCUGGGAUCAAACUUACCUUGGGAGUCCUUUCCAUUAUUGUGCACAAAACACUUGCAUCCAAAUGCCCUAAGAUGCGAUAUAUUUGGUUUUCUCCCUUUAAGUAACUCAUAGGGAGUCUUCUCUACAAGAGGUCUAGUCAUGCAUCUAUUAAUGAUGUAACAUGCGGUAUUUACAGCCUCUGCCUAGAAGCUAUGAGGCAGUUUACUAGAAAAAAGCAUAGUCCUAGCCAUAUCUUCAAGAGUCAUAUUAUUUCUUUCAACUACUCCAUUUUGUUGAGGAGUCCUAGGGGCAUAAAAAUUAUGAUCUAUACCAUGCUCAUCACAAAAUUCGGCAAACUUAGCAUUUUUAAAUUUAGUUCUAUGAUCAGACUUGAUUGAUGCAGUUGAUUACCUAGCUGUUUCUAAGUUUUUCUAACAAAGGCAGUAAACAUGUCAAAUGCUUUAUACUUAGAUGUUAAUAACAGUACCCAGGUAAACCUAGAGUAAUCAUCAACAAGUACCAUCACAUAUUUCUUACCACCUUUGCUCAAAGUUCUCAUUGGACCACAGAGAUCCAUAUGAACCGGUUCCAUCAUCCUGGUUGUGCUUACCAUUUUCUUACUUUUAAAGGAUGAUAUUACCUGCUCCCCCUUGCACAAGCCUCACAAACUUUGUCUUCCUUGAACUUGAUGUUAGGUAACCCUAUCACCAGGUCCUUGGAGACUAAUUUGUUGAGUUGAUUCAGACCUGCAUGACUAAGUCUUUUGUGCUACAUGAGGGGAUCAUUUUCCAACACACUCAGGCAAGUGAGUUCAUUUUCUGAAAGAGUGGACAAAUCUACAAUGUAAAUAUUGUUAACUCUUUUUCCCUACAAAACAAUCUUGUCAGUGGUAAGAUUAAUCACAACGCAUUUGGUACAGGUAAAUGUUACAAAGUUACCUCUGUCACACAGUUAUGAUACACUGAUUAUGCUAUAUUUCAAGCUAUCUAUCAAGUAGACAUUCUCAAUGGAAUGUGAGUCUGUCUUACCUACCUUUCCAACCCCAAUAAUCUCACCUUUCUUCCUAUUUCCAAAGGAGACAUUACCUCCUUUUAAGUCCUCAAGUGAAAGGAAUUGGUUCUUGCUUCCAGUCAUAUGUUUUGAGCAGCCACUAUCCAUGUACCAUAUUUGGCUACUUCCCUUCACUUGGACCUGUAAAAAGAAAUUAGGGGUUAGUCUUAGGAACCUAAACUAGUUUGGGUCCCUUUCUAUAGGCAAAGGGGUGAAUUAAAUUCCUUUUAGCCUACCCAGACAACCUAUUUUUCUCUUGAAUAAAGGUUUUGUUCUUUUGACUGGCCUUUUCUUUUGCAUUACAUUCAUUUUUGUAAUGACUAGUCUUGCCACAAUGUAUGCAGAUUUUGUUUUCAGGAAGAGUGAUGUACUUACUUUUGGGGUCCCAUUUAGGUGCUUGGGUCCCAUAGCCAAGUCCUCUCUUGUUGCUAUUGUGAUGUUCUUGUAGCCAGGAUAGUGCAUCAGAAGCCUUAUUCCAUUUGCAAGUUCUGUCGAGUUCAUGCUUUACCUUCCCUAGGUCUUCUUUUAAGACUCUUAUCUGCUCAUCUUUCUUGUACAACUCAUCUUUCUUUUUUCUUAGGUUUUCUUUUAAGGUGAGAUGUGUGUGAUCAACUUUCUUCUUACUUGUUCCUAAUUUCAGUUUUAAAUUUUCAGACCUAAGUUCUAGGACACUGGUGUCGAGUUCAAGAACCUAGUUCUUCAACUCAACAUUUUUACUGUCACUCUCAUUAGCCCUAGAUUCUAGAUUUUUGCACUUGGCUUUUAAGAUCACACACUCCCUAGACAACUAUUCCUUCUCAUUGUUAAUUAUCUCAGACUCUUUGAUAAACUCUAGCAAUAGUUCAGAUAACCUUUCUUUAGAUAGAAAUUUAAUUUUGUCUUUGAGAUGAAUCACACUUACCUCUUGUUUAUCAUCUGAUUCUCCGAUGGCCAUAAGUGCUUGUUCAUCUCCAGCUUCAUCUUCUGAAUCCUCAUAUGAUGUUUCUCCCCAAGUAACAACCGUAGCCUUUGUUGAUCCUUUGUUCCUCUUGGGUUGAACCUGUUCCUUCUUCCUAUUCCUUCAUUCAGCCCUUUCCUUCUUCCAUUCAAUUUCCCACUGAGGACAAUUCUUGAUCAUGUGAUCAGUCUUUCCAUAUUUGUAGCAACCCUCGUUGGUCUGUUUCUUAGGAGCCCUUGGUUUGUUGAAGGUUUUACCUCUUGAAGAACCUUUUCCUCUCAUUGGGUACUUUUUGAAAUUCCUUGUGAUCAUGGCCAUUUCAUCAUCCUCCAGAUCUGCACCUUUAGCUAUUCUGAGAACUAAACUCCUUUCCUUCUUGGGUGCAUCCAUUUUCAUGGUUUGCCUUCUCAGUUCAUAGGCAGUGAGAUUUCUAAUCAAUUCAUCCAAUUUGAGAGUAGCAAUAUUCUUUGAUUCCUGAAUAGUAGUGAUUUUGCUUUCCAAAGUCACUGGUAAGACCCUUGUCAAGAUUUUCUCAACCUUGUCUUCUUCAAGGAUAAUUCUUCCAAGAGAUUUAAGUUCAUUUGUUAGUGUUGUAAACCUUGUGUACAUCUCCUGGAUAGUUUCUCCUUCCUUCNNNNNNNNNNNNNNNNNNNNNNNNNCCCAUAUCUCCUUAACAGUGGUACAACUUUGAAUCCUACUAUACUUGUCUGGACCCAGUCCACAUACAAGCCAUUUCUUGGCCUUGGUAUUCGUUUCCCAUUUCUUCAAGUCUUCAGCAGUGCAAUCAGCUUUUGUCUUUGACACGUCUACUCCUUUAGCAUUCUUCUUUGUAGUAGCCAAUGGACCAUCAAUGGCUAUGUCCCAAAGUUCAUAAGUUUAAAACAUAGAGUAGGUAGCAUGCUUGCAUGCAUCAAUUUAAAACUUAGAUUAUUUUAGUCUUCUCCUAUGAUGUGAUCUCUCAUCCUGUUCUUCCACCAAGAAUAGUACUGACCAUUAAAGAGUGGAGGCCUAUCAGUGGACUGCCCUUCCCAGUUUCCAGGUGGUGCACUCAUCUUGAUAUUUUCCUAAAGUGUUAACCUCUUCAAGGAUAACCCGCUCUAAUACAAAUUGAUGUUUUAUGCUUCAAUACCACACAAGAGGGGGGGGGGGGGUGAUUUGUGUGGUACCCAAUUUUUGCGUAACUUAAUUUUAGAAGGGCCUGGUUCUUCUAUGUGUUCCAACUCCUACUGUUUGCAGAAUAAUAAGUAAUGAAAAUAAAGAACACAAAGAUUUUUACGUGGAAAACACCUGGCUCAAAAGGUGAAAAAACCAUGACCUACUACUCAAUAGUAUUUUCCCAAACUUCCACUAAACUCACUGAGCCAAAAACUGCAUUUACAAAAAUUCUUUGUAAACCUAGCAUUAACUCUAAUAUUGAUGUGGUACACAACCUCAACUGUUGCGAUAACUUCAAGUUAACUCUAACUUGAAUACUCUAGGUACCUAAUACAAUUGCUUCUAUAAAAGCUAAAAGGUACAAUGUAAAAUCACCUACUACAAUUGAACUAGAAUAAAAGAUAGACACUUGGAACUAGUUCUUCUAUCUCGUUCAAGUAGCUUCAGGAUUGCACACUUGAAUCACACAUAAAUUGCUUGCAAAAUCGCCUUGCUCUUUUGCUCUCAAUUUAAGUUUAACUUCUGCUUAUAAAAGAGAACAACACUGAUAUUUAAUGGGUUAGUAAUUAGAGAUUGACUGGGAUUCAGAUACUACUCUUCUAUCAUAGAAGAGUUCUAGUUGAUCUCAUACUCUUACACUAUCUUCUUCCUAAACGUUUUCUUCAUGUAAGGAGUCUUUCUCUCCUUAUCCAAUAUGCAAACUUUUCGAUCAGAUCAGAAGAUAUUACUUCUGAUAAGUUAAAUUUAUCUCCUUCACGUGCAUCUCACAUGUUUGGGUUGAUUAUGACUGUGCUCACAAGAUGGACCUAGUCCAUAUCUGAGUUCUUUUGUCAGUCUUCAAAACUUCACAUGUACUUGGGCCAACAACUUAAUUACUAUUAAAGAGUACAACUUACUAGAUAUCUAAGGGGUAUGUAGAGUUAAGAGGAGUGUGAAUUUAUAAAGGAGUUUAAAGAUAUGUUGAAAGAGUUUUGAAAUAUAUAUGUAAGUGGUCUAUAUUUUAUAAAGCUCGUGAAAAGGGGUUGAGUUAUGAAAACACUUGAUUUAAGGAAUGGAGUUCAUGUAAUUCUAAAGGGUUCUUGUAAAAGUGAGCCUAUGAUAUACCUUGAUUUGAAGAUUUAAAGAAAGAUCAUUUUGCUGAAAAUCCUUUAAAGCGACAGUUCUUCAUUUUUGCAAAAUUCUGAUUUUCCUCUUGAUAAUAAAGCUUGCAAUAUAGUUUUGACUUCUUUUUCGAAAAUAAGGCUGCUGUUUUUACUAAGUUCUAGUCUUCAAAAAUCUUUUAAGAAAAGGGAAGGUGAGUGAGAACAUAGUAACGAUUUGAGCAAAUUAUAGUUAGCUAAAUAAGGAUUAAUUACUUAACGAAUUCUUUUCGUCAUAUGUUCAUUAGGGCUUGCCUAAGUUUUAUAUGACAUUAAAGCACAAAAUAAAACAUGUGAUCUAAUAUAUGAGUGUUAUAUAUAUGAUAACAAAGAUGCGACAAAGCAACAAGGUAGUAAAUGAAGCAAUAAACUAGAUUAACGAAACAAGAGGCAAUAAUAAAGGGAAUUGGGGGAAAGAAAACUGGGCUAUGGUAAUUGGGCCUUUAAGAAGGUAGGCCCAGCAGUAAAGAGAUGCGUCUACAACUGAUUUUUGACUCUCCUAAAAGAUGCAAUGCGGCUGGCCUAAAUGGAUGUACAUGUCCAAAAAAGAGAAAUCAUUAGAUGUAUGCUCCAUAGUUUUUAGCAUAUUUAACCAUGUAUGAAACAUAUAUAAACAAACGACUGGAGCCAAAUAUAUAAAUACAUCAGUACUUGUUACACCUCGUACUUUAAUAUUAGGAUAAGUCUAGUAAUCCAUAUGAUCUUGAAGAGAUUAAGACCAUUCAUGAGAUUAUAGAGGAUUUGUGACUAUGCUGUUAUAAGACCCCGUAAGUUUACCAACCUUGAUACCAUUAGAUAUUAUGUUAGUGUGGUAUUUUCUUUUAAGACGAGUAUUUUAGUAAAAUUUUUAUAAGUAUAAUUUUGGAUAGUUACCAUUAUUAUUAUUUUCGGAUAUGGUAAAUUAUACUCAUAAUAUAAGAAAGUUUAUGAGAUUUUCUUUAUUGUAUAGAUAGAAAUUAUUUUUGCACAAGAAAAGAAGGUUAUCUUUUUACCAUUUUAAGAAUUAAACGUACGAAAAUUUAUACUAUUUGUAUGAUAUUAGGAAAAUUAUAAGUUGAGAAAAUAUAUAUAUUUUUAUAUGGGUAUUUUAAUGAAAUAAUAGCGUAUGUAUUUAUUCUAUAUGGUACCUCAUGACCAUGAUAGUAGGGUAUAUAAAGUGUGAUAAAAGUGGAUAGUAUUUUAUGUAAUUUGAGAUAAUUCUUAAUUAUGUGGAUAAUUGGGUAAUUAAUAGCUUUUAGUGGGAGAUUAAUUAAAACUCUUUGGAUAAAGAUAAAUACCCUCACGUGGCAACUUUUGCCUUAGAAACAUUGUGACUCUUACAUUCAUUAAGCUAGGUGACAUGAAUUAAGAUAAAACUUAGAAAAGGGAUAGUAGGUGGAAGCAACUAUUUGGGACUUCUAUAGUUUAUUUAUUAUUCUUUAUAAUUGGUUAUGUUUUGUUAAUAUUUUAUCCACCGAAUUUCUCCUUACAAGGUAUUAAGGUUAACUUUUGCAUGGUUGAAUUGUUGGCCAAUUGAAAAGAUUGUUCCUUUUCAUGUAGUGAAGAUCUUUCCUUUUAUUUUUAUACACUUGCUGAAACACUAGCAUUAGGAGUUCCACUAAGUCAAUUUCUUGUAGUGAAGACGUCUACAAAGGGAUGCCAAGAAAGGCUUCAAUUUGAUUUGAUGCAAAGUGAGUAUUUAUGAAAUAAGAGCUUCCUGUUUAAAUGAAUAUGGUUGUUUGAGAAUGAUCAAGGCUAUUUGCGGUAGGAGGCGAUCAAUAUUAAAUAUGGAAUGAAGGGUUUUCGAAUCAAUGACUAUCCUUAAGGGUUUGCAGUUAGAAGGUUAAUGAACAGUUGGGAUUUACUUAUAAAGUGAAAUAAAAUUCUGUAAGGACAACAGAAAAAUCAAGUAUGUUAAAGCUAUCCCUUCUUUCUUUUGGCAUGAUCUAUACGACAUGAGCAAAACGAGCAAAUGCACAACUUUCAAAAAUGACUCUAUUCGUAGAAGUAUUAGAGGCGCAUGUGUUCUUAAAUUCUCAUGUGUUUUAUUAUUAUAUCAUCUAUUCAUGGGUCUCAAAAUGUACGUAAGUUGGUAAAGUUUAUUUCAUGAUAUUACUUAGAGGCAUAAUGGCCUUAUGAUGUACCGAUAGAUUUUAUUAACGUAUUUCAUAUGCAUUUCAUGCAUUUAUACAUGCACAUUGACACAUGACCAAAUAGCAUUAUAUACGCAUAUAUAUAUAUAUAUAUAUAUAUAUGUAUAUGAGAUAUGGGAAAAGUUAUUGCGUUAUAUACGCGCCACCACUUGAUCGGUUGGUAUACAUUGAUGAUUUGUCAACAGUGGCCGAGAUGAUAUGAUGGGAUGCCCUUAGAGGCAUGAUGAUGUUAUGGCAUUAUAUACGCGUAUAUAUAUGGGAUAUGGGAAAUGUUAUGGCGUUAUAUAUGCACCAUCACUUGAUCAGCUGGUAUACGUUGAUGAUUUGCCCACAGUGGCCGAGAUGAUAUGAUGGGAUGCCCUUAGAGGCUUGAUUAUGUUAUGAACACAUGUACCUAUGCACGACAUGACAUUCAUACGCAUAUACAUGACAUUAUAAAUAUUUUAUGAUUUACAGAGCUAUUCAGACUUACAGGUUGAGUCCUUUACUCCAUGUUUCUUCCAUGUUCUUUAUAUACUGAUUUACAUGCCUUACAUACCAGCACAUUAUUUGUACUGACGUCCUUUUGCUGGGGAUGCUGCAUUUAUGCAUGCAGGUAUAGACAAUUGGUUUGACGAGCCCUCAUAGUAGAUGAGGUCAACAUUCAGCAAAGGAUCGGUAAAACUCCACCUCAUUCGGAGUGCAGCCGAGUCUAUGAGUCAUCGUGAUAGUGUUUUGCUACAGACUUAUAGGUAGGCCGAUAUCCUGUCCAAUUUGAAGUCAAAUAACCUUAGAGGCUUUGUAGACAGAGGUUCAUUUUAGAUAGUGUGUGAUGGGUCACCACUUGUUUUAAAAAUAAAUUCUGUGUUCCGAGGCCGUAAAAACCUCUUUCAGCAUCACCUUGAUUUGCGUGCAUAGUCCGGGCGCGUAGCCGGAAAGCCAUUAUGUGGAAAUCUGUGAAAAAUAAUAAAUUUUUACUUUAAAAUGAAUUUAAGUUGACUUCGGUCAAUAUUUUGGGUAAAUGGACUCGGACCCGUGAUUUGAUGAUCUCGGAGGGUCCGUAAUAAAAUAUGGGACUUGGACGUAUGCCCGGAAUCGAAUUACGAGGUCCCAAGCCCGAAAAAUGAAUUUUUAAAAAAAAAUUAUUUUCUAGAAUAUUUAUGAGUUUUUAGAAAUGAAAUGUGUUUAAAACUUGAUGGUAUCGGGCCUGUAUUUUGGUUCUGGAGCCCGAUACAGGUCUUAUAUGUGAUUUAAGAUGAGUCCGUGAAAUUUGGUAAGAAACGGAAGUCGUUUGAGGUGAUUCGGACCCGUAGUUGUGAAGAUUGAUACUUUGAAAGUUUUGAGAUUUUUCUUAGAUUUCUAUGCUAAAUUCGUUAUUUAAGAGGUUAUUUUGGUGAUUUGAUCGUACGGAUAAGUUCAUAUGAAGUUUUUGAGUUAGUAUGCAUGUUUGGUUUGGAGCCCCGAGGGCUCGGGUGAGUUUCGGAUGGGUUUAAGAAGGUUUUGAACUUAGGAAAAAUUGCAGGUUUUUUCUAUCUCAGGUGCACAGAUGGUUUGUUCUUCUCGUUCGUGUGGUUCCACGCGAACGUGUAAGGCAAUUUCCUCAGGUGCCUGUUUGUUCUUCGCGAACGCGGAGCUUGGGAUGCAAACGCGAGGCUGUGGGGGGAGUACCCUUCGUGAACGCGUCCAGGCACUCACGGACGCAUAAGGUUAAAGGCUUGGGGGGGGGGGGGUUCACAUUUGUUCUACGCGAACGCCACCAUCUAACCGCGAACUCGAAGGCUCUAGGAGCUGAAGCUCCGAAAACGCGAGCCGUCAAACACGAAUGCGAUGAUCAGCUGGGCCUGACCCAUCGCGAACGUGACGCGGCAGGCCUGUCGCGCUAUCGCGAACGCGAUGAAGACAUGCCUAGUCAUUUUUAAACAGUAACAGAACAAACGGGAUUUAACCCAAAUUUCAUAACUUCUUCUUCCAAACUCCAAAUUGGGCGAUUUUUGAAAGAGAACUUCACCACAAAUCCAUAGGUAUGUAAUCUUAGAUUCAUUUUCUUCAAUUUCCCUUAAUACCCAUUAGAUUUCUAGGCCUAAAUCAUGUUCUUAAGGGUAGAAAAUUAGGGAUUUGGGUAGAGUUAGGGCUUUUUGUAUAAUUGGGAUUUAAACCUCAUUUUGGGGUCAGAUUUUGGAACUAAUUACAUUUUCGAGCUCGUGGUUGAAUGGGUGAUCGGCUUUUGGUCCAAACCUCGUGUUUUGACCAAGCGGGCUCGGGGUUGAUUUUUGACUUUUUGGGAAGAAUGAUAGGAAAUCUAUAAUUAAGCAUUGAGAUUGGAUUGUUUAGCAUUUAUUGAUGUUAUCAAGUCGAUUAUGUCUAGAUACAAUUGAGUUGGAGCCAAAUUCAAAAGGAAAAGAGGUGUUUGAUGCUUGAGUUGGCAAUGGAAGUUCGAGGUAAGUGUUUGGUCUAACCUUAGCUUGAGGGAUUAGGAGUCGUGUCUUAUUUGCUACGUGGUAACUGUGGAGUACGACGUAUAGGCAUGGUGAUGAGUAUCUAUACGUAGGUUUCAAGCAUGCCCGUGAGUGUUGUAUUGUAAUUGUUAUGACACGUUGUGGUUUAUUGCACUUCAUAUGAGGAUUAUCAUUAUUGUUCCCUUGCCAUGAUGUUAUUAUCAUUAUUGUUCCCUUGCCGAGAUGUUAUUGUCAUAUUAUUGUUCCCUUGCCGGGAUGUUGUUGUAAUAUUAUUGUUCCCUUGCCGGGAUGUUGUUAUAUUGCUAUUGUUCCCUUGCCGGAAUUCCUUUAUGAUUGGUGUUGAUAAAUAAAAUGGGAGCGGGUUGCAAGCCUGCAACGGUAAUAUAUGAAAUGGGAGCGGGCUGCAUGCCUGCAACGGUAGUAUAUGAAAUGGGAGCGGGUUGCACGCCUGCAACGGUAUUACAUGUGCACCUGUUCUUCUAUUUCCUUUAUCUUUGCUGGAAAUUGAUUUAUGGCAUUCCUUAUAUUUCUUUACUGUCGUUAUGUUGUUACCUGUUACUCCCCGCAACAUGUUUCCCCCGCUCAACUUUAGCUGUAAUCAUCUACUUUUAUUUCCGCUGUAUAUGAUUUAACUGCACAGGUUUAUUUGGUAGUCUGGUCCUAGCCUCAUCACUACUUCGCCGAGGUUAGGCUAGGCACUUACCAGCACAUGGGGUCGGUUAUGCUGAUACUGCACUCUGCACUGUGUGUAGAUAUUGAUACCAGAGCGUUUGGACCGUAGUGAGGGUGCUAUCUUCAGUACACGCAGGCGACCCGAGGUAGUCCUGCAUUCGUCCGUGGGCCUUGGCAUCUCCUUCUAUCUUUUCUCUUACUGUUUUUACUUAUCAGAGAUAGACUUAUGUAUUUCAUUCAGACCUUGUUUGUAGUAUUCUUAGACCGUCUGUGAACCUGUGACUCUAGUUCUAGGUAGUCUUGUUUAAAUAGUUGUAUUGGAUAUACUCAGUAGUUUUAUUGUUUUUCUU